RNAcentral lists this long non-coding RNA (1236 nucleotides) under Nicotiana benthamiana. RNAcentral's name for it is "long non-coding RNA (NBEN_LNC021247)". Lineage: Eukaryota; Viridiplantae; Streptophyta; Magnoliopsida; Solanales; Solanaceae. The record is from RNAcentral.
GUCAUUCAUGCAAGUCAAGCUCAAUUUGACCCUUCAACAUGUAUUUAUAAUUAAAAAGAUCCAAGGUUUAAUCUACCACAUAAAGGAUCACUAUAGGCAUUUUAUGACCUUUAAAACGAGAUCCAAAUUGAUAUGAUCCAUAGCCUGAAAACACGCCUUUAGCCUUAAGGCCAAUCCUCCGAAAAAAUAGAAACUCAUAUGUACACUUUGAAUCAACAUGAUGGCUUCUAACAAACUAAAUCUUCAAGAGUCGAACCCGACAUUAUCGAGCUUGAACAGAUUUCAAGGAAAAAUGCUGCUCUUAUUCAACUUUAUUUUACCUAUAUAUUUCAUCUUGGUAAUGUAUUACUGAAUUUAAAAAAAAAUCAAACCAGUCACACAAUUUCACUCCUACGUCAUGAAGGCCAAAUUCAACUAACUAAUCAAGUUAAAAAAAAUGCUCAAAACCUCAUGAAGAUUAAAUUCAAUGUUGACAUUCAAUUCACAACUUAAGGUUAAAAACAAAUAAACCAAACAUCAACUACAAUUUUAUAAAAAAAAUUUAGACAAAAGAAGCUAAACAUCAGCUACAAUUUCAUAGCAGAACAUAUCGAAGAUAGCUCAUAGAGAACAUACUUAGUCGCACAGAGCUAAAAUUUAAAGGAAGCGAGGCCAAAUAGAGGCUGGAAUCAACACCCUUAUAGCCCAGACUAAAAUUAAUUACAAAGAAACAAUGAACUAAGCUAUAAAAUACCAUAAAACAAAGUGAUAAGACUAAACUCAUAACAGAAAGCUGAAAACAUGUUUGAACUUUAGAAUUUUCAUUUUUAUUCCUCAAAUCAAUCUUCACAUGAGGUAUAAUGUAGAAGUGUACCUGGAAAUUGAAAAGGAAGAAAGAAGUGAGGAAGCAAUAAGCAGCAAACAACCCAGUAAUCAACACCCAUGAAGAGUAGACCAAACAAACACCAGCUUGAUUUAGCCAAUGAAACAGUAAAAUUCCCUCAUAAAAAUCGACAGAAUAGUAACCCUAUCAACAAACUUAAAGCAACUCUUUUCAAUACCGAGUUCAAUCCAUUUUUCACCUUAAAGAAAAUCAAAAAUUGCUUCAGUAGUGGAAAACUUUUGAAUUCAAAGCAGAGAAAGAAUGGAAUAAUAUUUUUCAUAAGUUUUAGCUAUUUGUGAUUUUUCUAGAAUUGUAUCUCUUAAAAUCUGCCUUGAAAUGCAAGAUGGGGUGCCUUUAUAGGCAAGGCAUUAGGG